This 460-nucleotide ribosomal RNA is filed under the name uncultured bacterium. RNAcentral's name for it is "partial 16S ribosomal RNA". It matches the Rfam family "Bacterial small subunit ribosomal RNA", at positions 338 to 795 of the family's 1533-position model. The record is from RNAcentral.
CCUACGGGCGGCAGCAGUGAGGAAUAUUGGUCAAUGGGCGCGAGCCUGAACCAGCCAAGUCGCGUGAGGGAUGAAGGUUCUAUGGAUCGUAAACCUCUUUUAUAAGGGAAUAAAGUGUGGGACGUGUCCUAUUUUGUAUGUACCUUAUGAAUAAGGAUCGGCUAACUACUCGCCAGCAGCCGCGGUAAUACGGAGGGACCGAGCGUUAUCCGGAUGUAGUGGGUUUAAAGGGUGCGUAGGCGGCCUUUUAAGUCAGCGGUGAAAGUCUGUGGCUAAACCAUAGAAUUGCUGUUGAAACUGGGUGGCUUGAUGAUGUUAGAGGGAGGCGGAAGGCGUGGUGUAGCGGUGAAAUGCUGAGAUAUCACGCAGAACCCCGAUUGCGAAGGCAGCCUGCCAGGCCAUGACUGACGCUGAGGUACGAAAGCGUGGGGAUCAAACAGGAUUAGAUACCCGGGUAGUC